CCAUCUUUGUUAUUAGAUGGAGAAGCCAAAUAUCUUUUUUGGAGAUCAAAACCUAAAGCCUAAUGUCUAGAGAAGCCAAAUAUCAAAACCCUAAAGUACAAUAUCUCCCACAGAUGUAAUACAUUGAACUAACAAUGGAGGACGGCCGGAGAGCAAACCACAAUAAAUCAAAAUGGGCAAAAUUGAUGCUUUCUCAUUCCUGAGCAACAGUGCCAAUUCUUCUUCCAUGGGCUCAGCUUCAGCUGUCGCUGUUGCAAAGGGUGGGAGGUGAUCUUUUCAGGACCUUUCGGCAUCAACAAAAUUGUGAACUUAAUAUGAGCAACAACGUCACCGGACUUUUCAUGGAGAACAGGGUAUGUCUGCAAAAGA
Phalaenopsis equestris is the source of this 369-nucleotide long non-coding RNA. RefSeq lists it as uncharacterized. The transcript has 2 exons. Lineage: Eukaryota; Viridiplantae; Streptophyta; Magnoliopsida; Asparagales; Orchidaceae. The record is from RefSeq and is a predicted model, not a curated record.